AAAAACAUCACCUCUAGCAUAACUAGUAUUAGAGGCACUGCCUGCCCAGUGACAAUCGUUAAACGGCCGCGGUAUCUUGACCGUGCAAAGGUAGCAUAAUCACUUGUUCUCUAAAUAAGGACUUGUAUGAAUGGCCACACGAGGGUUUUACUGUCUCUUACUCUUAAUCAGUGAAAUUGACCUCCCCGUGAAGAGGCGGGGAUAAUACAAUAAGACGAGAAGACCCUAUGGAGCUUUAAUUAAUCAGCUCAAAAAGCAUAAAAUAAUACCACCAAGGGAUAACAAAGCUUUAAAUGGGCUGACAAUUUCGGUUGGGGUGACCUCGGAGUAUAAAAAACCCUCCGAGUGAUUAAAACUUAGGCCUACCAGCCAAAGUAUAAUAUCACUUAUUGAUCCAAAAUUUUGAUCAACGGAACAAGUUACCCUAGGGAUAACAGCGCAAUCCUAUUCUAGAGUCCAUAUCGACAAUAGGGUUUACGACCUCGAUGUUGGAUCAGGACAUCCUAAUGGUGCAGCAGCUAUUAAGGGUUCGUUUGUUCAACGAUUAAAGUCCUACGUGA
Molecule: ribosomal RNA, 560 nt
Filed under: Tursiops truncatus (common bottlenose dolphin)
Lineage: Eukaryota; Metazoa; Chordata; Mammalia; Artiodactyla; Delphinidae
Description: partial 16S ribosomal RNA
Rfam family: Bacterial large subunit ribosomal RNA
Source: RNAcentral